RNAcentral lists this ribosomal RNA (460 nucleotides) under uncultured bacterium. RNAcentral describes it as "bacterial SSU rRNA". It matches the Rfam family "Bacterial small subunit ribosomal RNA", at positions 29 to 507 of the family's 1533-position model. The record is from RNAcentral.
AUUGAACGCUGGCGGCAUGCCUUACACAUGCAAGUCGAACGGCAGCACGGGGGCAACCCUGGUGGCGAGUGGCGAACGGGUGAGUAACGCAUCGGAAUGUACCCAGUAGUGGGGGAUAACUAGUCGAAAGACUAGCUAAUACCGCAUACGCACUGAGGUGGAAAGCGGGGGAUCGCAAGACCUCGCGCUAUUGGAGCAGCCGAUGUCCGAUUAGGUAGUUGGUGGGGUAAAGGCCUACCAAGCCUGCGAUCGGUAACUGGUCUGAGAGGACGACCAGUCACACUGGGACUGAGACACGGCCCAGACUCCUACGGGAGGCAGCAGUUGGGAAUCUUAGGCAAUGGACGAAAGUCUGACCUAGCGACGCCGCGUGAGGGAAGAAGGCCUUCGGGUUGUAAACCUCUGUCAUGGGGAAGAAGGAAGUGACGGUACCCAAGAGGAAGCCCCUGCUAACUACGUG